This 55-nucleotide transfer RNA is filed under the name Ophidascaris baylisi. RNAcentral describes it as "tRNA-Thr". Lineage: Eukaryota; Metazoa; Nematoda; Chromadorea; Rhabditida; Anisakidae. The record is from RNAcentral.
GCUAUGUUAGUUUAUAAAGAAUAUGUGAUUUGUAAUUACGAGGAUUUUGUUAGCU